GAAAUGCGAUACUUGGUGUGAAUUGCAAAAUCCCGCAAGCCAUCGAGUCUUUGAACAUAAGUUGCACCCGAAGCCAUUAGGUUGAGGGCAUGUCUGCCUGGGCGUCUCACGUUGCGUCGCCCGCGCCCCCACCCCCCCCACGAAGGGGGGAAGAAGGGCUGUUGGGCCCCCGCGCGCGGUCGGCCCAAAAAGCUAGUCCCCCGCGACGGACGACGCAUCGCGACGAGUGGCGGUUGACAAACCGUUGCAUCGCCUCGCGCGCGUCCGGUCCGUCACGGGAGGCCUGUCGUGACCCUGUCGCGCCGCCGCCAAGGCGCUCUGAUCGCGACCCUAGGUCAGGUGGGAUUACCCGCUGAGGUUAA
Molecule: unclassified non-coding RNA, 362 nt
Filed under: uncultured fungus
Lineage: Eukaryota; Fungi
Description: sequence contains ITS1
Rfam family: 5.8S ribosomal RNA (bases 1-107)
Source: RNAcentral